CUACGGGGUGCAGCAGUGAGGAAUAUUGCACAAUGGGGGAAACCCUGAUGCAGCAACGCCGCGUGGAGGAUGACGCAUUUCGGUGUGUAAACUCCUUUUAUGAGUCAAGAAAAUGACGGUAGCUCAUGAAUAAGCACCGGCUAACUCCGUGCCAGCAGCCGCGGUAAUACGGAGGGUGCAAGCGUUACUCGGAAUCACUGGGCGUAAAGGACGCGUAGGCGGGCUUGUAAGUCAGGUGUGAAAUCCUAUGGCUCAACCAUAGAACUGCACUUGAAACUACGAGCCUAGAGUAUGGGAGGGGGAGAUGGAAUUAGUGGUGUAGGGGUAAAAUCCGUAGAUAUCACUAGGAAUACCGAAAGCGAAGGCGAUCUCCUGGAACAUAACUGACGCUAAGGCGUGAAAGCGUGGGGAGCAAACGGGAUUAGAUACCCGGGUAGUC
This 439-nucleotide ribosomal RNA is filed under the name uncultured bacterium. RNAcentral describes it as "partial 16S ribosomal RNA". It matches the Rfam family "Bacterial small subunit ribosomal RNA", at positions 339 to 795 of the family's 1533-position model. The record is from RNAcentral.